This 87-nucleotide transfer RNA is filed under the name Salpianthus macrodontus. Its description in RNAcentral is "tRNA-Ser". It matches the Rfam family "tRNA". Rfam says of the family: Transfer RNA (tRNA) molecules are approximately 80 nucleotides in length. Their secondary structure includes four short double-helical elements and three loops (D, anti-codon, and T loops). The record is from RNAcentral. Lineage: Eukaryota; Viridiplantae; Streptophyta; Magnoliopsida; Caryophyllales; Nyctaginaceae.
GGAGAGAUGGCCGAGUGGUUCAAGGCGUGGCAUUGGAACUGCCAUGUAGGCUUUUGUUUACCGAGGGUUCGAAUCCCUCUCUUUCCG